This 1299-nucleotide long non-coding RNA is filed under the name Neodiprion pinetum (white pine sawfly). RNAcentral describes it as "uncharacterized LOC124212180". Lineage: Eukaryota; Metazoa; Arthropoda; Insecta; Hymenoptera; Diprionidae. The record is from RNAcentral.
AACUUUUUUCAGUCCACUGAAAAAUGAAGCACACGUAUCGCAUGCGUAAAUUCGAACUUUGUUCAGAUGACGAUUUAACGUACGCGUCCAAACUAUACAUAUAUCUUCUUAUUUAUCUACAAUUGUAUACAUAAAUACAUCGUUCGCAGGCACUUUGCACCGCUCACUGAUUGUCAGUAUGUUGUUGCUUGUUGAUUAACAAUUGAAUUGUUGAUUCUCCCGACUAUAUCGUCACAAUGUUCAACAAUGAGUAUGACGCAUGAUAUAUGUAACAGUAUAUCAUAUACUCGCUUAAAAUCAAUAUAUUUUUCCAUAAACUGGUUAAAACCCCGUAAAGCGUAUAACUGAUGUAAGUAUUUCCUGGGAAUUGAUUUAAAUUUUUCGAUCGAUUUGUUUUGCAAUUAUUAUGAAAUUACUGUACUGUUUUAUCAUGUUGUCCACUGAAUGAACAUAAAAAAAUAAAAUAAAAUAAAAUAAGCUCGGUGCAAUCUGUGCCAAUUGGAACAACAAAAGCACGUAACAGACGGACACACGCAUCGCGCAAUAGUUACAACAAUAAAACCCAGGGUUAAUAAUGUAUUCUGUAGAAUAAUUAUUGUUUGUUUGAGUAUACGUUGAAAGAUGGUGAUCUUAAUAAGAAUAUUAUAAAUGUUUCGAGGAAAGAAACGAGAAUGCUGUGUUAUGAUUGAAUCAUCAUUCGGCUGGAAACACGUUAGUGUUUGCUUUGCUCACCAGAAAUGAAGGCAGAAUCACCCUUGGCGAAGACAUCAUGAACGAUUUUGCUUUUGGAUGCCUUAGAGUCGACGUAACCCAGGAAUGCUCUUGUUGGAUUAUUCGGCAUGAUUUUACCGAUGAAAACGCCAGGUUCAUCUGAAAACGAACUUGACAAGUUAGAGUAGUUUUUGCUAAUUAGCAACAAAUUUGUUCAGCUUUCAACGUACACAAUUUUAGAAUCAAGAAUUAUUAUUAUAUACGAUUGAAGAAACGUAAUUACUUGGCUCGCAGGUCAUACAAAGUCCCUUAGAAUUUCUGAUUGGCUCUCCAUUUGCAUCUACCUUAAUUAUAGAAAUCGGGUACACUGCUGGAAUGAUUCUUGAGACGAAACCGAUAGCUCCAACGGUGUUGUCGAUGUUUACUGUGGAAAGUAAAUAAUUAUGCUUAUGUUCGCUCUAUUGCAUUAAAUUUCUUGUACGACAAUUUGCCUACCAAUGUUAGCAUUUCCUUCGGUAGCUCCGUAAAAUUCGGCAACUUUUGCUAUUUUGAAACGAUUAACGAAAUCACUCCAAAUUUGCGGCCUUA